UUCUUGGUUAGAGCAUUUUAAAUGUUAAAUUAAUGUGGAUUUAUACUUUGUUUCAACAAUAUUGUUACGGUAAACCAUGUACAGUCGAAGAAUAGUCUGGCAUGAGAUCUAACUCUAAACCUGGGUUGCCAUAAGUUAGAUUUACCCGGGCAGUUCCGGGUUUUUAAGGUGUCCGUGUUGGUCCGGAAUUUGAAAAAAUGUCCGAAAAAUCAAACCGUGCACUCGUGUAUGGUGGAUGUGAAUUGUGAUUUGUUUGACAUUAUCUUAUUAUGAUCAUGUGCGC
Long non-coding RNA from Sitophilus oryzae (rice weevil), 283 nucleotides. RefSeq lists it as uncharacterized. The record is from RefSeq and is a predicted model, not a curated record. The transcript has 3 exons. NCBI's taxonomy places the organism in Eukaryota, Metazoa, Arthropoda, Insecta, Coleoptera, Curculionidae.